UGAAGCAGGACUAAUCACCAAUCCCACCAUGGGCAGGACAGCAGAGAUCGUCACUAUGCUAACUGCCAGGAAUAGGAAUCCACACACUUCCGCCCACUGCAUCCUGGCCUGAAGUGCUACCAGUGUCUGUUGGAGACACGCUCACAUGCAACAAGUAAUGUGAAGUGGCUUUAGUAUAAUACAGACAGGCAGCAAGGGACAAAAGAAGCCUAGGAUCCAUUGUGAGGCAGUCCUCAAGGCUCAAGACAGCUGUCUGGGAAGGCACUAUUCUGAGUGUUGGAAGAUAUAGCAGUGGACAAAACUGAUAAAACAUCUCUGCCUUCAUGAAGACUAAUGAGGAGACAUGUGCCCAGUGACAAAGUUUAGAGUCAAGAACAGGGAUGUCUGGCCUCACUUUGGAUAAUCUGGACCUUUUCUGCUGCAAGCAUACCACUAGAUAGAAAAGAGGACCUGUGAAACAUCUUCUCCACAUUUCCCUUCCCUAGUGGGAAGCUUAUUGUUUCAGAGUCAAGAACUUGGUUCCAGGCUACAGUCCCAUGGCUACCAUUCUCUAACUGUUACUUUGCACUUCUAAGAUCAUGAAAGGUGAGCCCAUGAAAUUAAACUUUUGUUAAAAAGUGGAAGAACUUCAGAAUUGGAAGACCCCCGUCCAUGCAGUAAUCUCUUCAACAGCAUAUUUGGCAGAUGAUCAUCCAGGUCCAGUAUGGAUAUCACUACUGGCAGAGUUCACAAAAAUCAGACCAUCCUUUAUUGGCAACUGGGAUCUGGAUAAGUUCUUUCCCAGUUUCAACCUCCGUGGAACUGUGUUGUGUCCUCUUCAACUUUAUUUGAGGAAUUUUUACUGAACUGGAUCCAGGAUCAGAUUGUGUCUGAUAACUAACUAGAUUGGUUCCAGUUAGAGACCUCGGGUACGUACCUUUUGAAAUGAGUUCCUCCAAAUCUAAGAAGCCUAGGACUCCAUUUUUUGGGACAAUAGCUAAUGUUUUAUACAAAAAUUAUGAGCUCUGAACCUGUGCAUUUUUGGAAAAAACUGGUUAAUUUUACUAAGAACAACUUAGAAUUACAGUCAUCACAAUGUGGAAGUUUUAACCUAGUUAAAAAUAUUCACUUAUGAGGUGCAUUAGGAAAGAAAGGAUCCAAAAUGCCAAAAAAGAAAGGUGAUACAUUCUUUAAUUGGUGCAUAGAAGUAUCUAAACAUUUAAAUUAAAUCAAAGUUUGCCUCUUUAAAAGUUUCCUUA
This 1238-nucleotide long non-coding RNA is filed under the name Homo sapiens (human). Its description in RNAcentral is "HSALNT0296070". Lineage: Eukaryota; Metazoa; Chordata; Mammalia; Primates; Hominidae. The record is from RNAcentral.